Biomphalaria glabrata is the source of this 1228-nucleotide long non-coding RNA. RefSeq lists it as uncharacterized. NCBI's taxonomy places the organism in Eukaryota, Metazoa, Mollusca, Gastropoda, Planorbidae. The transcript is spliced from 3 exons. The record is from RefSeq and is a predicted model, not a curated record.
UGUUAGGCACUGUCAUUUUUGUCUAGUAAAUGAUGUUUCACAGCAAUACAGUGCAGCCCUUCAUCAGAACAAUGUUGCCUGAGUACUGAAACUUAAAUAAGUUUAGAAACCUUUGAAAGCAUCUUGUCAAAUUACAACCAAUACCUUCUGAAGAACUUUAUAAAAUGGUACUCAAAACAGCUUAGUUUUCUCUUUUAGUGAGUGCUGACAAAACAUUAAUGAGGAAGUGGACUCAAGAUAAGGAUACCAUCAUUUAUAUUACAUUUAACUUAUGCAUUACACUUUUUAUAUUUUAAAUUUUGCAUUUUAAAAUGUAAUUUUUGCUUGCAAUAUUUUAUCAACUUUUUUUUUUUAGAUCAAAGGAAUGUACAUGCUGCUGAUAUAGAAAAAGUUUCUGACUGCUUACAGAUCAGUGUUCUUAGUUCUGCUAUUGAUUUACUAUUGCAUAAUAAAUAAACAUGUAAUGAUCAAUCACAUUUUUAUACCAAGUUCAUCUAAUGAUUUACACAGCAUAUUAUCAGCAUUCACAGUUCAUCUAAUGAUCUACAUAUGAAGCAGCACCAUGCAGAGCUAACAUCACCUACUGAAGAGAGUUUCCAUCAUGCUUUAGCAACAAUCCAAAAACAAAAUGAAAAAGUGGUUUCUUUGUUUGGGACAAGUCCUGAAAGGCCUUCAGAAUCUGGGAGCACACUAUUGUUAACAAGCAGUGUGUCAUAUGACCAGCACAAUGACCAACAGCUUUUACUUUUCAAACCAAAGUCAGGACACUGUUCAAAGAUAUUUUAAGAUGUUGGCCUCACAUCUUGACACUUGUUAGAGUGUAAAGAUUUGACUUAACAAAUGUUAAAAUAAAAAGAGCACAUUGUGGAGGGUUGACCGUCAUUAAAAAAUUUACAUGUACUUAUUCUGUUUAAAAAAAUGUCCCUCUAACAAAUAAAAAAAAAUAAAGAUUGUCAGACUUCUGCUAGAUGUUGAUCUUUUCAUCACAACACCAAUAACUUCUUCUUGGAGUCAAGUAACAGUGUAUAUCACCUGAAAAAAGCUAUUUAAAUUCCCUUAAAGAUCACAAAUUAAUGCUGAUGACAUAAAGCACAUUUAUCCACGAAAUCUUAUGAACACAUAAUAUUAUGUUGUACAACUAAAUAGUGGUGUCUGGAAAUUUAGGCAGUGUGUAUGUAGUGUAUAUGCUUAUUUAUUAUUUAUCUGUUUCUUAAACAUAGGCUUAUGU